GAGGGAGGGAGGUGGAGGGAGGAGGGGGUAGGUGGAGUGAGGUUGAAGUCCCACACAAGGGAAACCACUGGCAAAGGAGCGUUUUUAUUCUGUUCUCCUGUGAGCUCUCCAUGCCUCUCUCUGUGUUCUUCCCUGGGAGUCUGCAUGCACCUGUGUGUUCCCGCACUCCCGCUUCCUCGCUGGUUGCUUGUCGGCUGUUGUCUUAUUAGUCGCUCGUGCAGCAGCCAGCAGGAGAGGGAGGGGGGGGGGAACUCAACUGGACUUGGCAGACUCACAAUAACAAAACAAAACAAAAAAAAAGUCGUAGCAAAAGAGCCGUGUUUGGAGAGUUUUUUUUUUUUUUCGUCUCCAUGCUCAGAUGCAAGAACUCUGAGGAACAAAGAUGUCUCGCUGGAGUUGAAGGAUUGACAACAGGCAUACAUGUGUGGGUUGCUGUAGAUCUCCUGUCUUGGACCGAGAGCUGCGUCCAUUUCCCACAUGGUUUGUUGAUUUACGCUGAAAGCACCGGCCUGCAGCCCUCCUCAUGCCUGACUUCAUCCAAUUCUAGAGGACACUGGACCAUCAGGUCCAGCCUGUGCCACACUGAUCUCUCUUUCCAUUUUGCCUGGCCACCCUCGCUGUUUCUCUGCUCGGCUGAGCGGCAGACACACACACAGAGGACUGCGGCAGCCUCCCCCACCACCAGCAACUGGCUUUGA
This is a long non-coding RNA of Oryzias sinensis (Chinese medaka), 698 nucleotides long. The record is from Ensembl. Lineage: Eukaryota; Metazoa; Chordata; Actinopteri; Beloniformes; Adrianichthyidae.